UUCAUGUGGCAUGUCUGUUUCGUGGCAGUGUCAUGUCACUCUUGUGUGGAAAACUUCAAGUAAAGCGUUACCACAUA
This is a long non-coding RNA of Etheostoma spectabile (orangethroat darter), 77 nucleotides long. RefSeq lists it as uncharacterized. NCBI's taxonomy places the organism in Eukaryota, Metazoa, Chordata, Actinopteri, Perciformes, Percidae. The transcript has 3 exons. The record is from RefSeq and is a predicted model, not a curated record.